CUCCAAUCCCCAGUCUCUCUCUUUCUACACAUACACAUUAAUGUAUAUUUAUCUAUAAGACUCUUUACGUGAGCCUUUUGUUACAUGAAUAUUCUCUGUGUUUCCUGUUGUUGCUGCUGGCAGCAAUGCUAUUAAUGAGAGUCAGUGUCCAAAUCCAUGGUUUCACGGGUUGGUUUAACACCAUCAUUAGCGGCUGUGCGCCUGUCAUGAUUCAUUUUCACCUUGCAUUUGUGCUCCUGUAAAGGAGGGAAAGGCGUAGACAUGGUUAAGAAGAUGAACUGGAAUGCAUCUUUCAUGCUCUUACAUUGGAACGCAAGCAUUUUUCUUUCUUCUGUGAUUAACUGUGACUGUGAGCCUCAGUUGGCUGCCUGGUGCUGCUGAGGUUACCUGACUGCAAAGGUACAUUUUAACCCAAAUAUGUUUCGGAUAAACACAGGGAAUUAUAAAUGGCCAAGCUCUACGUUUUUAAUCUUCUGUGGCAUAUUUGUGUUAUUUCUCUUAGAGUCAAUCCCUCACCUCCAUGCCAAGAGACUGAACACUUUCUAAUGAGACAAAUGUCACCAUAUUAUGGUACAUUGCACCUUUCACAUUGAAAAUUACACAUAAUUGGUUAUUAUUUAACAAGGUUCAUAUGUCUACUAGUGUCAAUUUAGUCCUGUAUUUACUUACAAAUUUAGACAAAACAGUAACUGCAAAUCAGGAUGUCCAUGUUAAACUGCUAAUUAACGUGAAGUUGGUGAGUCGUGCGACCAGAGAUUGGGUCCCGUCACAAUUGGGUUUCAGCAGAAGUUGGACUUUGUUCCGCUUUGCAUAAACAAAGUUCCCAUUAUAGUGCUUGAAAACACAUGGUUACACAGGUGCAUCAACAUAUACUGAAACUAUCAUGCUUCUAAUUAAAUUUGGAUGAAGUGUCUCCAAUAUACAAAACUUUAUUUUAAACCCUAUUAUUAUUUUUAUUUUAGCAGAAGUUAUAUAAAUAUUUUUAAAAUAACACUUUAUUUACAAUACGUGUAAACUGUAAAACACAAUUACAGAAUAAAACGUUAGAGGUAUAGUAAGCAGAAUUUAGUGGUUAACAUUUUCUUCCUUUGUGUUCUCUUUAUCUCAGCACAGCAUGAAGGAAGGAAACACAGUGUAAAACACAUUAUAAACAUACUCAGAAUGCAUUGUAUUUGUAAGUGCAAAUUGCUAUGGUGCAAGGGACACAGCAGGUGGCUGUAAAGAGCUUUUGUUGUAGCUGGCCUGUGUGUAUGUGUUUUUUCUUGUUUUUUUUUUUUUUGAGGGAGCAGGGUGGGACGAGACGUCCGCUUAGUUGAUGAUCAUUGGCUAAGGCUGAGUAAGGUUUCAUGGUAAGCCAAUCAGAGGAAGUGUUUACACUAAAUCUAACACGCACACAGCCGGCAUACACCCCCAGCUAGCAAAGGUGAGUGGAUGCAAUGUCGUGUCUGAAAGGCAAGUUGGCGUUUUCAAAAUGGCCAUACAGGCAGUACUUCAGUCUCCUUGAGGUAAAAGGCAAGAAAGUACAUGCGAAGUGUACAUUAUGCCGCGGAGUGAAGUGUUUCCACGUCCGUUGUAAGCCACUGUAUUGUAAUGAAUCGUCUCUCAACAACACACACUUCUACAAACGUAGUAGCCAAAACCACCGUUGUUGACACUGUUGACUAUGACAGCGAGCCUGAUGUGACCGUAUAAUUUAUUUAAUGAGGUAAAGCACGUCAUAGUUAAACAUUUUUACUUUAUUUUUUUAAGAAAAUACAUUAACUGUUAGUAUGUACAGAGAGUUUAUAUUGUUAAACUGUAUUUCUGUCAUGAAAAUACUUGAAGCACACUAUAUCUACCAGUUGUGGUCUGUUGAGGUGCAUUAAAUAUAUAUAAAAAUUCUAUAUAAGUACCUGUCUAUACAGUUCUGGCUUGUAAAACUCACUGAGAGAAAGAAAAAUGAAAUUCUUAGUUUUGUUUAAACUUAGUAACACAAUAGUUACUUUCCCUGGGAACUAGUUACUUUUAUUGUGUAGUAUUUCAGUUAAUAACUUUGUUACUUUUUGGGAGAAGUAACUAUAACUAAUUACUUUCUAAAGGUAAUGCGCCCAAAGCUGGUUGAGAUGCUGGGGAUCAACUGCAGCAGCAACAUCAUCAGUGGCAGCAGCAACAUCAGCAGCAACAUCAUCAUCAUCAGCAACAUCAGCAGCAACAGCAUCACCAUCAGCAGCAGCAGCAGCAGCAGCAGAAGAUAGUCUCUUUCAUCAUGCAGGCCUUGCUUAUUACCUGAAGGUAUGUUUCACUGGAAUCCCAUCAGCAUGAGUGACACGUCUUGGAGAAUUAGCUUGAGGACAGAAAAGAGCAGAAAGGCUCCUGCAGGAGACGCAGACUCUCCUUUAAUCAACAGCUGAAUCCAGAGCUGAUGAGCCAGAGCACCAGUGGGCGUCGCCUUCAAUCAGGAAAUGCAGUACUUACGCUCCAGCUCCACGAGGAUUCAGUGCCAGAGUGUCCCUUCUAACUGGUGAGGGAAAGUCUGAAGCCUCCGAACCCUGGGGAUUAAUGCCUGGUGUGAUGUGAUGGAGUCCAAGUGCAAUCUGCAGCGCUGCUGGACUGUGACACCUGGGGCUGAAGGGCGGCACUCGAGAAAAAAACCUGAACGUGGCUCCACGUAACCAUGACAACGGUUGAGACAUUAAAACCACCCAACAACAAAACUGCAGUCCAAGUGAAUAUGUCUGAGCCAGAGUCAGACCCAGAACCAGAAGAAGCUCCAGAGACAGUUUGGCAGUGGUGAGUUGUUAAGGUUGUUAGCUCAGCUGGCCGGCCACCAGGCAGCAGCUCCACGACUGAGUCUGUGUUCUUUCAUUUUUUUUCAUAACACUUUGUGUCCCCUCUUCUGUGGACAGUUAUACUUUCACAAGAUUUUAUUUUCCUUCGCUGAUUUUCUUUCUUUUUUCUGUUUUUUUUGGGCUGCUCUUAGUUGUGCCAAUGAAUGCAAAGCUCAACUUGAGCGUUGUUUCCACUUGCAAUCAGCUGAUACCACAAUUUAAGCCUGCAUAGCUGUGGGGAGCCAGGUCUGAAGUCCUGCCAGAGAUUUUUUGGAGAGGCUGAUGUUGUAGAGCUGGAGCUAAAGUGAAAUCAGGAGGAGGAUUUACAGACUUGCUGUACCAGACACUAUCGUAGUCUGUUUCACAGAGGCCCUGUAAAGAUUCAAGACAGCUCAGCAGACACAGACACUUCCUGUUAGGUAGUACAGCAGGCGGAGGGGGGUUGCGUUAUAUGUAAAUGAACGGUGGUGUAACCCAGGUCAUGUGGCUGAACCAGAGACAUUAACUUUUCUCUCUGGGAUGAUGUUCAU
This is a long non-coding RNA of Cynoglossus semilaevis (tongue sole), 3337 nucleotides long. RefSeq lists it as uncharacterized. The record is from RefSeq and is a predicted model, not a curated record. NCBI's taxonomy places the organism in Eukaryota, Metazoa, Chordata, Actinopteri, Pleuronectiformes, Cynoglossidae. The transcript has 5 exons.